Molecule: long non-coding RNA, 722 nt
Organism: Lepisosteus oculatus (spotted gar)
Lineage: Eukaryota; Metazoa; Chordata; Actinopteri; Semionotiformes; Lepisosteidae
Source: RefSeq, a predicted model, not a curated record
UAUUUUUAUUUGUAAAUGAUAAUGAUUUCUAUUCAUCGCGCAGUUAUUAGUUAAUUUCUUUUUAUUUGGGGAUUCCUAAUCCGAUUUUCUUUUCAAGAAGGUGGCUCACACCUGGCCAGGUGAGAUCGGCAGAAGGUCGUUGUGAAGACUUAUAUUCCAGAAUAUUCCACCGCACUGCAGCACCUAGAGGUGGCGCUGUGUACGCUCACGGGUAGCGGCGGUGUCGCGACUAGCGCAACAGAAAAUUCCAUGACGGAGCGCAGACCCCGUUCGCAUCUCUUCUGAACUGCGAAACGCGAGUGCGUAGGACCGCAGGCUGUGUGCACGGCUCUUUUAAAGAGCAUGGAGCGGGAGGAAGAAUUUGCAGGUGGGGUCUCCAGGUGCAGGCGAGGUUUCUCCCGGAGCACGACAGCGUAGGAGCACACUUUCAGAACUGGAUGUGGAUGUUCAGCCCCCCUCUUAAAAGGCAAAGUUUAAUCUUAGCUGGAAUAUUCCACCGGAAAUGACGCCCUGGGCUUCUAGGAUUUUCUAUACUGGAGCUGGCUGGUUAUAAAGAUGAUCAAUUUUCCUCACAAUCAAUUGAGGAAAUACUUUUUUUUUUGAAGUACUGUAGUACUUUGGGCUGCACCUUCACAAAUGCUUACUGAAAGUCUGUAAAAGAAACGUUGAAAAAAUAGCAACCAUUAAUAUUAUAACUGAUAAUAAAGUAUUAUAUUACAGUA